GACGAACGCUGGCGGCGUGCUUAACACAUGCAAGUCGAGCGGUAAGGCCCUUUCGGGGGUACGACGAGCGGCGAACGGGUGAGUAACACGUGGGUGACCUGCCCUCCAGCUCUGGGAGUAAGCCUGGGAAACCGGGUCUAAUACUGGAUAUGACUCCAUGACGCAUGUUGUGGGGUGGAAAGCCUUGUGCGGCUGAGGAUGGGCCCGCGGCCUAUCAGCUUGUUGGUGGGGUGAGGCCUACCAAGGCGACGACGGGUAGCCGGCCUGAGAGGGCGACCGGCC
Molecule: ribosomal RNA, 282 nt
Filed under: uncultured bacterium
Lineage: Bacteria
Description: partial 16S ribosomal RNA
Rfam family: Bacterial small subunit ribosomal RNA
Source: RNAcentral